CGUAGGUAAACUGGAGAAAGAAGUUUCCAAUGUAUUCAACUAUUCAUUCUAUUUUUAGAAUCGCUUUAAAGUACGCCGGAGAUUUCAGAUUUUAAGCAAAUUGUCAGCUACCUGCGUUAUUAAGACUUGAUGCUAAGGGCUGUCACUAGGUAGCUAAAAUUCACUAGACGGCGCGGGUGUUUUCUUCGAAGACUGUGCACUGACAUUUCGUUUCGAGACACUGUUCGAGAAUGUAGACGUUAGUUGUUACGGUUUCCUAAAAUGUUUCGUCAUAAAAAUGGUAAUAUAGCCUACAAUUUUAUACUUGGCAACUCCAUCUGAUCCUGUGGUCUGAAAUUGCUGUCAUUUUCCCAAAAUGUCGUCUCUUGCUGUUGGUGACGGCUGUACGUUUCAUCACAUGGAGAAAUACUACAGAACAUCUGUGCUUCUUCAUUGCAGUCCAAUGUGUACAUGGAUUUGUUGCAGCCAGCCAGUUUAAGGUGUUCCUCUUGAAGGCUUGCUACCUGUGCCAGUUGUAGCUUUCGUCACAUGCAGAAAAAGAUCAAUUUAAAGUUUGCCGUCCACUGUGGCAUUCUGUUGCAGCCUUUGCUGGUGAAAGAAGAUUAAUUUGUAUCAAGUUUACCUGUGGCUGUUCGUUGCUACCUGGGUCGUGUAGGGAAGUUGCAGCCAGUUACACAAUACUUAUACACAUACCUUGUACUCCAGCCUCAUCCCAGAACUACUUAAAACCUAACUCCAUACCACUUGAAACCCAUACCUUAUACUCCGGAUGUUUAUGUCAAAUAAAUAAUAAACAUGUUUUGGGGAUUGGGAAAGGAAAGUGGAGGAUGUUGGAGGUGGAAAUUUCAAGUUUGGAUAAAAAACAGUUAAUUUAUAACACUACGAACAUCAACAAUUAAUCUCCAAACCCCAGAAACUUAUACCUUCCAAUUCUUCAGACACCACAAACAUACACCUACUAACCUCAAAUUUAUACCCUAAACCACAAUAACCAAUGUUAAACCCUAUGUCUGUAAUAAAUAAAAAAUUUAAUUCAUAAAA
Daphnia pulex (common water flea) is the source of this 1041-nucleotide long non-coding RNA. RefSeq lists it as uncharacterized. The transcript has 5 exons. The record is from RefSeq and is a predicted model, not a curated record. NCBI's taxonomy places the organism in Eukaryota, Metazoa, Arthropoda, Branchiopoda, Diplostraca, Daphniidae.